This 381-nucleotide ribosomal RNA is filed under the name Triticum aestivum (bread wheat). RNAcentral describes it as "partial small subunit ribosomal RNA". The record is from RNAcentral. Lineage: Eukaryota; Viridiplantae; Streptophyta; Magnoliopsida; Poales; Poaceae.
AUGGCGCGCAGAUCGACAACGAGCGAAGCGCCGGGCGACGGAGGCUGCGGCCUCACGAACGGCGCGCAGCUCGCCGACGAGCGCCGCGCCGGGCGACGGAGGGUGCGGCCUCAGGAACGGCGCGCAGCUUGCUUACGAGCGCCGCGCGGGGCGAGGGACGUCGUGGCCGCAGGGUUGGUGCGCAGUUCGCUCACGAGCGCCGCGUUAGGACGAGCACGGAGCAAACCCUCCUGCUCUGACAAGCAAGCAGAUCAACAUCGCGGUGUUCGCCGGCCAUGGAGGAGCUACUUCUUUGCCUGUGGGGAAAGUGAGUGGAUAAGAGAGGAGACGAAACGAGCGGCUGGUCUUUUCCUGCGUUUAAUUAAGAGACACGGUCAUUAA